CCUACGGGAGGCAGCAGUCGAGAAUCAUUCACAAUGGGGGAAACCCUGAUGGUGCGACGCCGCGUGGGGGAAUGAAGGUCUUCGGAUUGUAAACCCCUGUCAUGUGGGAGCAAAUUAAAAAGAUAGUACCACAAGAGGAAGAGACGGCUAACUCUGUGCCAGCAGCCGCGGUAAUACAGGGGUCUCAAGCGUUGUUCGGAAUCACUGGGCGAAAAGCGUGCGUAGGCUGUUUCGUAAGUCGUGUGUGAAAGGCGCGGGCUCAACCCGCGGACGGCACAUGAUACUGCGAGACUAGAGUAAUGGAGGGGGAACCGGAAUUCUCGGUGUAGCAGUGAAAGGCGUAGAUAUCGAGAGGAACGCUCGUGGCGAAGGCGGGUUCCUGGACAUUAACUGACGCUGAGGCACGAAGGCCAGGGGAGCGAAAGGGAUUAGAUACCUAGUAGUC
This 445-nucleotide ribosomal RNA is filed under the name uncultured bacterium. RNAcentral's name for it is "partial 16S ribosomal RNA". It matches the Rfam family "Bacterial small subunit ribosomal RNA", at positions 338 to 795 of the family's 1533-position model. The record is from RNAcentral.